RNAcentral lists this ribosomal RNA (787 nucleotides) under fungal sp. RNAcentral describes it as "eukaryotic LSU rRNA". The stretch from base 472 to 787 matches the Rfam family "Eukaryotic large subunit ribosomal RNA", at positions 1 to 319 of the family's 3401-position model. Lineage: Eukaryota; Fungi. The record is from RNAcentral.
CGGAGGGAUCAUUACCGAGUUUACAACUCCCAAACCCCUGUGAACAUACCACUUGUUGCCUCGGCGGAUCAGCCCGCUCCCGGUAAAACGGGACGGCCCGCCAGAGGACCCCUAAACUCUGUUUCUAUAUGUAACUUCUGAGUAAAACCAUAAAUAAAUCAAAACUUUCAACAACGGAUCUCUUGGUUCUGGCAUCGAUGAAGAACGCAGCAAAAUGCGAUAAGUAAUGUGAAUUGCAGAAUUCAGUGAAUCAUCGAAUCUUUGAACGCACAUUGCGCCCGCCAGUAUUCUGGCGGGCAUGCCUGUUCGAGCGUCAUUUCAACCCUCAAGCACAGCUUGGUGUUGGGACUCGCGUUAAUUCGCGUUCCUCAAAUUGAUUGGCGGUCACGUCGAGCUUCCAUAGCGUAGUAGUAAAACCCUCGUUACUGGUAAUCGUCGCGGCCACGCCGUUAAACCCCAACUUCUGAAUGUUGACCUCGGAUCAGGUAGGAAUACCCGCUGAACUUAAGCAUAUCAAUAAGCGGAGGAAAAGAAACCAACAGGGAUUGCCCUAGUAACGGCGAGUGAAGCGGCAACAGCUCAAAUUUGAAAUCUGGCUCUCGGGCCCGAGUUGUAAUUUGUAGAGGAUACUUUUGAUGCGGUGCCCUUCCGAGUUCCCUGGAACGGGACGCCAUAGAGGGUGAGAGCCCCGUCUGGUUGGAUGCCAAAUCUCUGUAAAGUUCCUUCAACGAGUCGAGUAGUUUGGGAAUGCUGCUCUAAAUGGGAGGUAUAUGUCUUCUAAAGCUAA